This 72-nucleotide transfer RNA is filed under the name Arnoglossus tenuis (dwarf lefteye flounder). RNAcentral's name for it is "tRNA-Ile". It matches the Rfam family "tRNA". From Rfam's summary of the family: Transfer RNA (tRNA) molecules are approximately 80 nucleotides in length. Their secondary structure includes four short double-helical elements and three loops (D, anti-codon, and T loops). Lineage: Eukaryota; Metazoa; Chordata; Actinopteri; Pleuronectiformes; Bothidae. The record is from RNAcentral.
GAAGCUGUGCCUGAACCUUAAAGGAACACUUUGAUAGAGUGAACUAUGGGGGUUAAAAUCCCCCCAGCUUCC